Molecule: ribosomal RNA, 253 nt
Filed under: uncultured bacterium
Lineage: Bacteria
Description: partial 16S ribosomal RNA
Rfam family: Bacterial small subunit ribosomal RNA
Source: RNAcentral
UACGUAGGGUGCAAGCGUUACUCGGAAUUACUGGGCGUAAAGUGUGCGCAGGUGGCUUCGCAAGUCGAGUGUGAAAUCCCCGGGCUUAACCUGGGAAUUGCGCUCGAAACUACGGAGCUGGAGUAUGGCAGAGGGAGGUGGAAUUCCACGUGUAGCGGUGAAAUGCGUAGAGAUGUGGAGGAACACCAAUGGCGAAGGCAGCCUCCUGGGCCAAUACUGACACUCAUGCACGAAAGCGUGGGGAGCAAACAGG